UCUAGAACUCGAGAUAUGGGCUGAACACUAAAUAGUGUCUGGGCUGUAGGACAGAUUCUGACUUCUCCGUUGUUGCUGAACUCGAAAAUGACACUUUUAAAUCUUGGACUCAUCAUGAAAUUUUUAGGCCUAUGUCUUAGCUUUCCAUA
Populus trichocarpa (black cottonwood) is the source of this 149-nucleotide non-coding RNA. NCBI's taxonomy places the organism in Eukaryota, Viridiplantae, Streptophyta, Magnoliopsida, Malpighiales, Salicaceae. The record is from Rfam.